GACUGCCGGUGAUAAACCGGAGGAAGGUGGGGACGACGUCAAGUCAUCAUGGCCCUUACGAGUAGGGCUACACACGUGCUACAAUGGCGCAUACAGAGGGCAGCCAACUUGCGAAAGUGAGCGAAUCCCAAAAAGUGCGUCGUAGUCCGGAUUGGAGUCUGCAACUCGACUCCAUGAAGUCGGAAUCGCUAGUAAUCGUGGAUCAGAAUGCCACGGUGAAUACGUUCCCGGGCCUUGUACACACCGCCCGUCACACCAUGGGAGUGGGCUGCAAAAGAAGCAGGUAGUUUAACCUUCGGGAGGACGCUUGCCACUUUGUGGUUCAUGACUGGGGUGAAGUCGUAACAAGGUAGCGCUAGGGGAACCUGGCGCUGGAUCACCUCCUUA
Molecule: ribosomal RNA, 387 nt
Filed under: Vibrio furnissii CIP 102972
Lineage: Bacteria; Pseudomonadati; Pseudomonadota; Gammaproteobacteria; Vibrionales; Vibrionaceae
Description: bacterial SSU rRNA
Rfam family: Bacterial small subunit ribosomal RNA
Source: RNAcentral